RNAcentral lists this ribosomal RNA (497 nucleotides) under uncultured bacterium. Its description in RNAcentral is "partial 16S ribosomal RNA". It matches the Rfam family "Bacterial small subunit ribosomal RNA", at positions 28 to 507 of the family's 1533-position model. The record is from RNAcentral.
GAUGAACGCUGGCGGCGUGCCUAACACAUGCAAGUCGAGCGGAAAGACGAGGAGCUUGCUCCUCUGACGGUGGCGGCGGGCGGGUGAGUAACACGUGGAUAACCUACCUAUAAGACUGGGAUAACUACGGGGGACCGGAGCCGAUAACGGAUAAUAUAUUGAACGGGAGGGUUCAAUAGUGAAAGAGGGUUUUGCUGUCACUUAUAGAUGUUUCCGCGUCGCAUGAGCUAGUUGGUAAGGUAACGGCUUACCAAGGCAACGAUGCGUAGCCGACCUGAGAGGGUGAUCGGCCACACUGGAACUGAGACACGGUCCAGACUCCUACGGGAGGCAGCAGUAGGGAAUCUUGGGCAAUGGGCGAAAGCCUGACGGAGCAACGCCGCGUGGGUGAAGAAGGUCUUCGGAUCGUAAAACUCUGUUAUUGGGGAAGAACAAAUGUGUAAGUAACUAUGCAUGUCUUGACGGUACCUAAACAAAAAGCCCCGGCUAACUACGUG